RNAcentral lists this ribosomal RNA (301 nucleotides) under uncultured bacterium. RNAcentral describes it as "partial 16S ribosomal RNA". It matches the Rfam family "Bacterial small subunit ribosomal RNA", at positions 509 to 807 of the family's 1533-position model. The record is from RNAcentral.
CAGCAGCCGCGGUAAUACAGAGGGUGCGAGCGUUAUUCGGAUUUACUGGGCGUAAAGCGUGCGUAGGCGGCUUCUUAAGUCGGAUGUGAAAUCCCUGAGCUUAACUUAGGAAUUGCAUUCGAUACUGGGAAGCUAGAGUAUGGGAGAGGAUGGUAGAAUUCCAGGUGUAGCGGUGAAAUGCGUAGAGAUCUGGAGGAAUACCGAUGGCGAAGGCAGCCAUCUGGCCUAAUACUGACGCUGAGGUACGAAAGCAUGGGGAGCAAACAGGAUUAGAUACCCGUGUAGUCCCUGUCUCUUAUAC